ACCUCAGUGUCAGUAUCAGUCCAGGUGGUCGCCUUCGCCACUGGUGUUCCUUCCUAUAUCUACGCAUUUCACCGCUACACAGGAAAUUCCACCACCCUCUACCAUACUCUAGCUUGUCAGUUUUGAAUGCAGUUCCCAGGUUGAGCCCGGGGAUUUCACAUCCAACUUAACAAACCACCUACGCGCGCUUUACGCCCAGUAAUUCCGAUUAACGCUUGCACCCUCUGUAUUACCGCGGCUGCUGGCACAGAGUUAGCCGGUGCUUAUUCUGUCGGUAACGUCAAAACAGCAAAGUAUUAAUUUACUGCCCUUCCUCCCAACUUAAAGUGCUUUACAAUCCGAAGACCUUCUUCACACACGCGGCAUGGCUGGAUCAGGCUUUCGCCCAUUGUCCAAUAUUCCCCACUGCUGCCUCCCGUAGGAGUCUGGACCGUGUCUCAGUUCCAGUGUGACUGAUCAUCCUCUCAGACCAGUUACGGAUCGUCGCCUUGGUGAGCCAUUACCUCACCAACUAGCUAAUCCGACCUAGGCUCAUCUGAUAGCGCAAGGCCCGAAGGUCCCCUGCUUUCUCCCGUAGGACGUAUGCGGUAUUAGCGUCCCUUUCGAGACGUUGUCCCCCACUACCAGGCAGAUUCCUAGGCAUUACUCACCCGUCCGCCGCUGAAUC
Molecule: ribosomal RNA, 667 nt
Filed under: Pseudomonas umsongensis
Lineage: Bacteria; Pseudomonadati; Pseudomonadota; Gammaproteobacteria; Pseudomonadales; Pseudomonadaceae
Description: partial 16S rRNA
Source: RNAcentral